This 494-nucleotide ribosomal RNA is filed under the name uncultured bacterium. RNAcentral's name for it is "partial 16S ribosomal RNA". It matches the Rfam family "Bacterial small subunit ribosomal RNA", at positions 28 to 507 of the family's 1533-position model. The record is from RNAcentral.
GACGAACGCUGGCGGCGUGCUUAACACAUGCAAGUCGAACGGAAAGGCCUGCUUUCCCUUGUGGAUUGCGGGUACUCGAGUGGCGAACGGGUGAGUAACACGUGAGUGAUCUGCCCCCAACUUGGGUAUAAGCCUGGGAAACUGGGUCUAAUUCCCGAUAGGACUGCAGGGUGGUGCCUGUGGUGGAAAACGAUUUUCUAGUGGUUGGGGAUGAGCUCGCGGCCUAUCAGCUUGUUGGUGGGGUAAUGGCCUACCAAGGCGGCGACGGGUAGCCGGCCUGAGAGGGUGGACGGCCACAUUGGGACUGAGAUACGGCCCAGACUCCUACGGGAGGCAGCAGUGGGGAAUAUUGCACAAUGGGCGGAAGCCUGAUGCAGCGACGCCGCGUGGGGGAUGACGGCCUUCGGGUUGUAAACUCCUUUCGACCGCGAGGAAGCCACCUGGUUGGAAGGGUGGUGACGGUAGUGGUAGAAGACGCACCGGCUAACUACGUG